This 237-nucleotide long non-coding RNA is filed under the name Phoenix dactylifera (date palm). RNAcentral describes it as "long non-coding RNA (PDAC_LNC020534)". The record is from RNAcentral. Lineage: Eukaryota; Viridiplantae; Streptophyta; Magnoliopsida; Arecales; Arecaceae.
CUUCAAGAAUUUCACCAUCAUCAUCAAAAUUAACUCUCUUGCUAGAAGAGAUAUCACUAAAAUCAUCAAAAACAAUAUGUAUGGAUUCUUCUAUAACUAGGGUUCUUUUAUUAAAGAUUCUAUAGGCUUUACUAGUUGUGGAGUACCCCAAGAAUAUACCCUCAUCAGAUUUAGAGUCAAAUUUUCCUAGAUUAUCUUUCCCAUUAUUAUGAACAAAACACCUACAUCCAAAAAUAU